CCUACGGGGGGCUGCAGUGGGGAAUAUUGGACAAUGGGGGGGACCCUGAUCCAGCCAUGCCGCGUGUGUGAAGAAGGCCCUCGGGUUGUAAAGCACUUUCAGUGAGGAAGAACGCCUGGUGGUUAAUACCCAUCAGGAAAGACAUCACUCACAGAAGAAGCACCGGCUAACUCCGUGCCAGCAGCCGCGGUAAUACGGAGGGUGCGAGCGUUAAUCGGAAUUACUGGGCGUAAAGCGCGCGUAGGUGGCUUGAUAAGCCGGUUGUGAAAGCCCCGGGCUCAACCUGGGAACGGCAUCCGGAACUGUCAAGCUAGAGUGCAGGAGAGGAAGGUAGAAUUCCCGGUGUAGCGGUGAAAUGCGUAGAGAUCGGGAGGAAUACCAGUGGCGAAGGCGGCCUUCUGGACUGACACUGACACUGAGGUGCGAAAGCGUGGGUAGCAAACAGGAUUAGAUACCCUUGUAGUC
Molecule: ribosomal RNA, 465 nt
Filed under: Vreelandella stevensii
Lineage: Bacteria; Pseudomonadati; Pseudomonadota; Gammaproteobacteria; Oceanospirillales; Halomonadaceae
Description: partial 16S ribosomal RNA
Rfam family: Bacterial small subunit ribosomal RNA
Source: RNAcentral